RNAcentral lists this transfer RNA (75 nucleotides) under Caldilineae bacterium. RNAcentral describes it as "tRNA-Met". It matches the Rfam family "tRNA". From Rfam's summary of the family: Transfer RNA (tRNA) molecules are approximately 80 nucleotides in length. Lineage: Bacteria; Bacillati; Chloroflexota; Caldilineae. The record is from RNAcentral.
GGCGACGUAGCUCAGCGGUAGAGCAGGGGACUCAUAAGCCCUGGGUCGUUGGUUCAAAUCCAACCGUCGCCACUA